CGGGCACCGGCGAGGCCCGGAGGGCGUCGGCCCGUCGUUGCCGGGCCGGCGCGGCGGCGAGGUUCCACGCCCCGGCGACCAGCC
Molecule: transfer RNA, 84 nt
Filed under: Planosporangium mesophilum
Lineage: Bacteria; Bacillati; Actinomycetota; Actinomycetes; Micromonosporales; Micromonosporaceae
Description: tRNA-Asn
Source: RNAcentral